UAAUACAUUCAAAUCGAGCGGACAGAUGGGAGCUUGCUGGGGGAUGUUUUCCGCGGACGGCUGAGUAACACGUGGGUAACCUGCCGGUAAGACUCGGAUAAGUGCGGGAAACCGGGGAUAAUACCGGGGUUGUUUGAACCGCAUGGUUCAGACAUAAAAGGUGGCUUCGGCUAUCACUUACAGAUGGACCCGCGGCGCAUUAGCUAGUUGCUGAGGUAACGGCUCACCAAGGCGACGAUGCGUAGCCGACCUGGGGGUGAUCGGCCACACUGGGAAUGAGACACGGCCCAGAAUCCUACGGGAGGCAGCAGUAGGGAAUCUUCCGCAAUGGACGAAAGUCUGACGGAGCAACGCCGCGUGAGUGAUGAAGGUUUUCGGACGAAAGCUCUGUUGUUAGGGAAGAACAAGUGCCGUUCAAAUAGGGCGGCACCUUGACGGUACCUAACCAGAAAGCCACGGCUAACUACGUGCCAGCAGCCGCGGUAAUACGUAGGUGGCAAGCGUUUCCGAAUUAUUGGGCGUAAAGGGCUCGCAGGCGGUUUCUUAAGUCUGAUGUGAAAGCCCCCGGCUCAACCGGGGAGGGUCAUUGGAAACUGGGGAACUUGAGUGCAGAAGAGGAGAGUGGAAUUCCCGUGAGCGGUGAAAUGCGUAGAGAUGUGGAGGAACACCAGUGGCGAAGGCGACUCUCUGGUCUGUAACUGACGCUGAGGAGCGAAAGCGUGGGGAGCGAACAGGAUUAGAUACCCUGGUAGUCCACCCGUAACGAUGAGUGCUAAGUGUUAGGGGGUUUCCGCCCCUUAGUGCUGCAGCUAACG
Molecule: ribosomal RNA, 815 nt
Filed under: Bacillus amyloliquefaciens
Lineage: Bacteria; Bacillati; Bacillota; Bacilli; Caryophanales; Bacillaceae
Description: bacterial SSU rRNA
Rfam family: Bacterial small subunit ribosomal RNA
Source: RNAcentral